AGUUAAAAAGCUCGUAGUUGGAUUUCGGAGUGGGCCAGUUGGUCCGCCGCAAGGUGUGUUACUGACUGGUUUGCUCUUCUUCGCAAAGACUGCGUGUGCUCUUCAGUGAGUGUGCGUAGGAUUUACGACGUUUACUUUGAAAAAAUUAGAGUGUUCAAAGCAGGCUAUUGCUUGAAUACAUGAGCAUGGAAUAAUGGAAUAGGACUUUGGUCCCAUUUUGUUGGUUUCUAGGGCCGAAGUAAUGAUUAAGAGGGACAAUUGGGGGCAUCCGUAUUUCGUUGUCAGAGGUGAAAUUCUUGGAUUUACGAAAGACGAACAACUGCGAAAGCACUUGCCAAGAGUGUUUUCAUUAAUCAAGAACGAAAGUUAGAGGAUCGAAGACGAUCAGAUACCGUCCUAGUUCUAACCAUAAACGAUGUCGACUAGGGAUCAGCGGGCGUUAUCGUACGACCCCGUUGGCACCUUACGGGAAACCAAAGUUUCUGGAUUCCGGGGGAAGUAUGGUUGCAAAGCUGAAACUUAAAGGAAUUGACGGAAGGGCACCACCAGGAGUGGAGCCUGUGGCUCAAUUUGACUCAACACGGGAAAACUUACCA
RNAcentral lists this ribosomal RNA (596 nucleotides) under uncultured eukaryote. RNAcentral describes it as "SSU rRNA". It matches the Rfam family "Eukaryotic small subunit ribosomal RNA", at positions 617 to 1220 of the family's 1831-position model. The record is from RNAcentral.